RNAcentral lists this ribosomal RNA (468 nucleotides) under uncultured bacterium. RNAcentral describes it as "partial 16S ribosomal RNA". It matches the Rfam family "Bacterial small subunit ribosomal RNA", at positions 28 to 507 of the family's 1533-position model. The record is from RNAcentral.
GACGAACGCUGGCGGCGUGCUUAACACAUGCAAGUCGAACGGAAAGGCCCUGCUUUUGUGGGGUGCUCGAGUGGCGAACGGGUGAGUAACACGUGAGUAACCUGCCCUUGACUUUGGGGUAACUUCAGGAAACUGGGGCUAAUACCGGAUAGGAGCUCCUGCUGCAUGGUGGGGGUUGGAAAGUUUCGGCGGUUGGGGAUGGACUCGCGGCUUAUCAGCUUGUUGGUGGGGUAGUGGCUUACCAAGGCUUUGACGGGUAGCCGGCCUGAGAGGGUGACCGGCCACAUUGGGACUGAGAUACGGCCCAGACUCCUACGGGAGGCAGCAGUGGGGAAUAUUGCACGAUGGGCGGAAGCCUGAUGCAGCAACGCCGCGGGCGGGAUGACGGCCUUCGGGUUGUAAACCGAUUUCGCCUGUGACGAAGCGUGAGUGACGGUAAUGGGUAAAGAAGCACCGGCUAACUACGUG